Molecule: transfer RNA, 72 nt
Filed under: Ictidomys tridecemlineatus (thirteen-lined ground squirrel)
Lineage: Eukaryota; Metazoa; Chordata; Mammalia; Rodentia; Sciuridae
Description: Spermophilus tridecemlineatus (thirteen-lined ground squirrel) tRNA
Rfam family: tRNA
About the family: Transfer RNA (tRNA) molecules are approximately 80 nucleotides in length. Their secondary structure includes four short double-helical elements and three loops (D, anti-codon, and T loops). Further hydrogen bonds mediate the characteristic L-shaped molecular structure. tRNAs have two regions of fundamental functional importance: the anti-codon, which is responsible for specific mRNA codon recognition, and the 3' end, to which the tRNAs corresponding amino acid is attached (by aminoacyl-tRNA synthetases). tRNAs cope with the degeneracy of the genetic code in two manners: having more than one tRNA (with a specific anti-codon) for a particular amino acid; and 'wobble' base-pairing, i.e. permitting non-standard base-pairing at the 3rd anti-codon position.
Source: Rfam by way of RNAcentral
GGGGAUGUGGCUCAGUGGUAGAACACUUGCCUCACGUGCAUGAGGCCCUGGGUUCAAUCCCUAGCACCACCA